Acanthosepion pharaonis is the source of this 115-nucleotide non-coding RNA. Lineage: Eukaryota; Metazoa; Mollusca; Cephalopoda; Sepiida; Sepiidae. The record is from the annotation of a GenBank genome assembly.
AUACGGUCACAUCAUGUUGAAAAAACCAGUUCCCGUACGAUCACCGAAGUUAAGCAAGGUCGAGCCUGGUCAGUACCUGGAUUGGUGACUGCUAGAGAAUACCAGGUGCUGUAAG